Molecule: long non-coding RNA, 1591 nt
Organism: Chrysemys picta bellii (western painted turtle)
Lineage: Eukaryota; Metazoa; Chordata; Testudines; Emydidae
Source: Ensembl
AUAAUGAGUGGCUUAAAGUCAUGAUUAAAAAAAAAAUCACAAAUGUUGUCUUCUUUCUAUUUGCCUUCUUGUUUUUCAGCUGUCAGGGUGCAUUCGCUUCACAUUUAUGAGCUUUUCUCAGCAAUGAUGAGGGCUCAAAACUUACUUUUUUUUUAAAAUGAAAGUUAAGAUUUUCAUGUGCAUUGAUUCCAGCAUCUGAGAUCCUGAGAAAAAUACUAAAAAUUGUGAAAGUCGCAAGACUGAGUCAAUCUCAUGAUUUUGGGGGGAACACACUCGUGAUUUUUGAACAUUUGGCAAUGCUGUGAGAAUGACUGUAUGAGAUGCAAGAUAAAAACAUCAUGCUCGGUGCAUUUCAAGAGCAUCAUGCCAAGAGAACUGCUUUCCCCUCCACGACUCUGCUCAGCAGCUCUGGAUUAUUUACCCUACUACACUGCAUGGUCCUGCCAGAUCAUCUAUCCCAGUGCUCCACACAGGCCACUGGUUUAUUUCUCUUUCAGCUGUCUCCCCUACUUCUCUUGCGCCCUCACCCCCAGAAAUGGUAGGGAGAUCUUUAUAGUUGUCACUAGUGCAUGUAAUGAUACACUUAGGUAAUACAUUUAGUCAUGAUUUAAAAUAUGUAUAACAUUGACCAGGCUAGCAUUUUGUCUGCUUCAUAAAAUUGCCUGCUAUAAAAUUCUAGACGAAGUGCGUGAAUGAUCUCAGAUUCAGCGCCACCACUGCAAGGUUAAUGUAAACACCAAUCAAUGUAUGGUUUGAGAUAGCUAGAGCUAAUUGCAUUCUCCUUCUUGACAUGUUUAAUGUCACCGUGACUGUAUAUGGCAUAUCACACCAUGGACUGUACCAGGCACUUGAAGUGGUCUGCUGAAUUCACAAAAUUCUUCUCUGGGCCAUCUGGAAAUGCAUAAGGGAGUGGAAUUUAUGGAAAAUGUGUUUGACCUAAAAUGGACAUAUGUGGCUUAACUGGAGCCUGGUGUAUUCUGCUAUUCCAUGGAAUCUGUCUCUUGCUGCAGAGAUUUGAUCAGAACAUUAGUUUUCAUUAAGUAAAAAAUUAUGCUCCUAGACUUUAUGGUUGUAAAGGAAACCAUGACCAGCAUGUAAUCAAAUGCAAUGUUAUCUUCCUGAGUCUGCAGAAAUCCUGAAAUGCUCCCUUUAUAUCAAUGGGUUAAAUUCUGAAAGCCAAAGAUAAUUUAAAUGUCAGCAAUUAACUGUGUCAUUGCUGAUUUUUUAGCAGAAACAUCCAGCUAAUGUGCUUAUUGCACAAAGCCGAAAUGCCUUCCAUGCCACUUCAGGGCAUGAAAGCUUCCAAUGUCCCUAAUAACUAGCCAUCAGAUGCAGUUAUACAUGGUUAUAUAAAUCUUUGGUAUGUCAAAAACUGAAAAUAUGGCAAUCGAAAUAACACAGGGUCUACUGGACCAAUUGUAUUAUUCAUUUUUAAUGCAGUAACAGCUUCCAUUCUUUAAAAUUUUAAAUGAAAGUGGUGCCAGAGACAUUCCUGCUGCAGAUUCCAGGGACCAUGGUACAAAAUGUAGGCCCAAAUUGCUGCAGAGUACAUGGUGCUUCAGCUUCACCACCACCUAUACAACCUACAAAU